Molecule: ribosomal RNA, 500 nt
Filed under: uncultured bacterium
Lineage: Bacteria
Description: bacterial LSU rRNA
Rfam family: Bacterial large subunit ribosomal RNA
Source: RNAcentral
CCCCUAAGGCGAGGCAGAAAUGCGUAGUCGAUGGGGAAACAGGUCAAUAUUCCUGUACCGAUUCUAGAUGCGAUGUGGGGACGGAGAAGGUUAGGUCAGCCAUCUGUUGGAAUAGGUGGUUUAAGCGUGUAGGCGUGCCCCUUAGGCAAAUCCGGGGGGCUUAGCUGAGGCGUGACGACGAGGCACUACGGUGCUGAAGUGAUUAAUACCAAGCUUCCAGGAAAAGCCACUAAGCUUCAGUCUAGAGUCGACCGUACCGCAAACCGACACAGGUGGGCAGGAUGAAAAUUCUAAGGCGCUUGAGAGAACUCAGGAGAAGGAACUCGGCAAAUUGACACCGUAACUUCGGGAGAAGGUGUGCCCCGGUAGGUUGUAGAGCCUCGCGCUCGAAGGCCGAUGGGGUUGCAGUGAAAUGGUGGCUGCGACUGUUUAAUAAAAACACAAGCACUCUGCAAACACGAAAGUGGACGUAUAGGUGUGACGCCUGCCGGUGCUGGAAG